This 94-nucleotide small nucleolar RNA is filed under the name Arabidopsis thaliana (thale cress). RNAcentral describes it as "Plant small nucleolar RNA R71". It matches the Rfam family "Plant small nucleolar RNA R71". Rfam says of the family: R71 is a member of the C/D box family of snoRNAs containing the C (UGAUGA) and D (CUGA) box motifs. Multiple nearly identical copies of this snoRNA have been identified in Arabidopsis, and it is thought to function as a 2'-O-ribose methylation guide for 18S ribosomal RNA. The record is from RNAcentral. Lineage: Eukaryota; Viridiplantae; Streptophyta; Magnoliopsida; Brassicales; Brassicaceae. RNAcentral also lists the same sequence under 1 other name.
AAACCAUUGUGAGGGCAUUGAGUAGUAUAGCCCUUAAAGUGUUCCCAUGCUUCAGAGAAUGACUCGGAAUUCUUCUAUGUGAAUUGAUGCGUGU